This 1098-nucleotide ribosomal RNA is filed under the name Pseudomonas tohonis. Its description in RNAcentral is "partial 23S ribosomal RNA". It matches the Rfam family "Bacterial large subunit ribosomal RNA", at positions 1833 to 2925 of the family's 2925-position model. The record is from RNAcentral. Lineage: Bacteria; Pseudomonadati; Pseudomonadota; Gammaproteobacteria; Pseudomonadales; Pseudomonadaceae.
GAAAGUGGACGUAUAGGGUGUGACGCCUGCCCGGUGCCGGAAGGUUAAUUGAUGGGGUUAGCGCAAGCGAAGCUCUUGAUCGAAGCCCCGGUAAACGGCGGCCGUAACUAUAACGGUCCUAAGGUAGCGAAAUUCCUUGUCGGGUAAGUUCCGACCUGCACGAAUGGCGUAACGAUGGCGGCGCUGUCUCCACCCGAGACUCAGUGAAAUUGAAAUCGCUGUGAAGAUGCAGUGUAUCCGCGGCUAGACGGAAAGACCCCGUGAACCUUUACUGUAGCUUUGCACUGGACUUUGAGCCUGCUUGUGUAGGAUAGGUGGGAGGCUUUGAAGCGUGGACGCCAGUCUGCGUGGAGCCAUCCUUGAAAUACCACCCUGGCAUGCUUGAGGUUCUAACUCUGGUCCGUUAUCCGGAUCGAGGACAGUGUAUGGUGGGCAGUUUGACUGGGGCGGUCUCCUCCUAAAGAGUAACGGAGGAGUACGAAGGUGCGCUCAGACCGGUCGGAAAUCGGUCGUAGAGUAUAAAGGCAAAAGCGCGCUUGACUGCGAGACAGACACGUCGAGCAGGUACGAAAGUAGGUCUUAGUGAUCCGGUGGUUCUGUAUGGAAGGGCCAUCGCUCAACGGAUAAAAGGUACUCCGGGGAUAACAGGCUGAUACCGCCCAAGAGUUCAUAUCGACGGCGGUGUUUGGCACCUCGAUGUCGGCUCAUCACAUCCUGGGGCUGAAGCCGGUCCCAAGGGUAUGGCUGUUCGCCAUUUAAAGUGGUACGCGAGCUGGGUUUAGAACGUCGUGAGACAGUUCGGUCCCUAUCUGCCGUGGACGUUUGAGAUUUGAGAGGGGCUGCUCCUAGUACGAGAGGACCGGAGUGGACGAACCUCUGGUGUUCCGGUUGUCACGCCAGUGGCAUUGCCGGGUAGCUAUGUUCGGAAGAGAUAACCGCUGAAAGCAUCUAAGCGGGAAACUCGCCUCAAGAUGAGAUCUCACUGGAGCCUUGAGCUCCCUGAAGGGCCGUCGAAGACUACGACGUUGAUAGGUUGGGUGUGUAAGCGCUGUGAGGCGUUGAGCUAACCAAUACUAAUUGCCCGUGAGGCUUGACCAU